UACAGAGGUCUCAAGCGUUGUUCGGAUUCAUUGGGCGUAAAGGGUGUGUAGGUGGCGCGCUAAGUCGGGUGUGAAAUUUCGGAGCUUAACUCCGAAACUGCAUUCGAUACUGGCGUGCUUGAGGACUGGAGAGGAUAGUGGAAUUCCCAGUGUAGUGGUGAAAUACGUAGAGAUUGGGAAGAACACCAGUGGCGAAGGCGGCUAUCUGGACGGUUUCUGACACUAAGACUCGAAAGCGUGGGGAGCAAACAGG
This 253-nucleotide ribosomal RNA is filed under the name uncultured bacterium. RNAcentral's name for it is "partial 16S ribosomal RNA". It matches the Rfam family "Bacterial small subunit ribosomal RNA", at positions 524 to 776 of the family's 1533-position model. The record is from RNAcentral.